GACGAACGCUGGCGGCGUGCCUAAUACAUGCAAGUAGAACGCUGAAGAGAGGAGCUUGCUCUUCUUGGAUGAGUUGCGAACGGGUGAGUAACGCGUAGGUAACCUGCCUUGUAGCGGGGGAUAACUAUUGGAAACGAUAGCUAAUACCGCAUAACAAUGGAUGACACAUGUCAUUUAUUUGAAAGGGGCAAUUGCUCCACUACAAGAUGGACCUGCGUUGUAUUAGCUAGUAGGUGAGGUAACGGCUCACCUAGGCGACGAUACAUAGCCGACCUGAGAGGGUGAUCGGCCACACUGGGACUGAGACACGGCCCAGACUCCUACGGGAGGCAGCAGUAGGGAAUCUUCGGCAAUGGGGGCAAGCCUGAACGAGCAACGCCGCGUGAGUGAAGGAGGUUGUCGGAUCGUAAAGCACUGUUGUAAGUCAAGAACGAGGGUGAGAGUGGAAAGUUCACACUGUGACGGUAGCUUACCAGAAAGGGACGGCUAACUACGUG
RNAcentral lists this ribosomal RNA (497 nucleotides) under uncultured bacterium. RNAcentral describes it as "partial 16S ribosomal RNA". It matches the Rfam family "Bacterial small subunit ribosomal RNA", at positions 28 to 507 of the family's 1533-position model. The record is from RNAcentral.